UGGGGAAUAUUGCACAAUGGAGGGAACUCUGAUGCAGCGACGCCGCGUGAACGAAGAAGGCUUUCGAGUCGUAAAGUUCUUUUAUAUGGGAAGAUAUGACGGUACCAUAAGAAAAAGCCCCGGCUAACUACGUGCCAGCAGCCGCGGUAAUACGUAGGGGGCUAGCGUUGUCCGGAAUCACUGGGCGUAAAGGGUUCGCAGGCGGAAAUGCAAGUCAGGUGUAAAAGGCAGUAGCUUAACUACUGUAAGCAUUUGAAACUGCAUAUCUUGAGAAGAGUAGAGGUAAGUGGAAUUUUUAGUGUAGCGGUGAAAUGCGUAGAUAUUAAAAAGAAUACCGGUGGCGAAGGCGACUUACUGGGCUCAUUCUGACGCUGAGGAACGAAAGCGUGGGUAGCAAACAGG
RNAcentral lists this ribosomal RNA (402 nucleotides) under Fusobacteriota bacterium. RNAcentral's name for it is "Fusobacteria bacterium partial 16S ribosomal RNA". It matches the Rfam family "Bacterial small subunit ribosomal RNA", at positions 355 to 776 of the family's 1533-position model. Lineage: Bacteria; Fusobacteriati; Fusobacteriota. The record is from RNAcentral.